AGUGAACGCUGGCGGUAGGCCUAACACAUGCAAGUCGAACGGCAGCACAGGAGAGCUUGCUCUCUGGGUGGCGAGUGGCGGACGGGUGAGGAAUACAUCGGAAUCUACUUUUUCGUGGGGGAUAACGUAGGGAAACUUACGCUAAUACCGCAUACGACCUACGGGUGAAAGCUGGGGACCUUCGGGCCUUGCGCGAUUGAAUGAGCCGAUGUCGGAUAGCUAGUUGGCGGGGUAAAGGCCCACCAAGGCGACGAUCCGUAGCUGGUCUGAGAGGAUGAUCAGCCACACUGGAACUGAGACACGGUCCAGACUCCUACGGGAGGCAGCAGUGGGGAAUAUUGGACAAUGGGCGCAAGCCUGAUCCAGCCAUACCGCGUGGGUGAGGAAGGCCUUCGGGUUGUAAAGCCCUUUUGUUGGGAAAGAAAUCCAGCUGGCUAAUACCCGGUUGGGAUGACGGUACCCAAAGAAUAAGCACCGGCUAACUUCGUGCCAGCCGCCGCGGUAA
This 505-nucleotide ribosomal RNA is filed under the name uncultured bacterium. Its description in RNAcentral is "partial 16S ribosomal RNA". It matches the Rfam family "Bacterial small subunit ribosomal RNA", at positions 29 to 523 of the family's 1533-position model. The record is from RNAcentral.